This 253-nucleotide ribosomal RNA is filed under the name uncultured bacterium. RNAcentral describes it as "partial 16S ribosomal RNA". It matches the Rfam family "Bacterial small subunit ribosomal RNA", at positions 524 to 776 of the family's 1533-position model. The record is from RNAcentral.
UACGUAGGUGGCAAGCGUUACUCGGAAUUACUGGGCGUAAAGCGUGCGCAGGCGGUUUUGUAAGCCAGAUGUGAAAUCCCCGGGCUUAACCUGGGAAUGGCAUUUGGGACUGCAAGGCUUGAGUGCGGCAGAGGAGACUGGAAUUCCCGGUGUAGCAGUGAAAUGCGUAGAUAUCAGGAGGAAUACCGAUGGCGAAGGCAGGUCUCUGGGCUGACACUGACGCUCAUGCACGAAAGCGUGGGGAGCAAACAGG